GAUGAACGCUGGCGGCGUGCCUAAUACAUGCAAGUCGAGCGAAUGGAUUAAGAGCUUGCUCUUAUGAAGUUAGCGGCGGACGGGUGAGUAACACGUGGGUAACCUGCCCAUAAGACUGGGAUAACUCCGGGAAACCGGGGCUAAUACCGGAUAACAUUUUGAACCGCAUAGUUCGAAAUUGAAAGGCGGCUUCGGCUGUCACUUAUGGAUGGACCCGCGUCGCAUUAGCUAGUUGGUGAGGUAACGGCCCACCAAGGCAACGAUGCGUAGCCGACCUGAGAGUGUGAUCGGCCACACUGGGACUGAGACACGGCCCAGACUCCUACGGGAGGCAGCAGUAGGGAAUCUUCCGCAAUGGACGAAAGUCUGACGGAGCAACGCCGCGUGAGUGAUGAAGGCUUUCGGGUCGUAAAACUCUGUUGUUAGGGAAGAACAAGUGCUAGUUGAAUAAGCUGGCACCUUGACGGUACCUAACCAGAAAGCCACGGCUAACUACGUGCCAGCCGCCGCGGUAA
This 515-nucleotide ribosomal RNA is filed under the name uncultured bacterium. RNAcentral describes it as "partial 16S ribosomal RNA". It matches the Rfam family "Bacterial small subunit ribosomal RNA", at positions 28 to 523 of the family's 1533-position model. The record is from RNAcentral.